This 253-nucleotide ribosomal RNA is filed under the name uncultured bacterium. Its description in RNAcentral is "partial 16S ribosomal RNA". It matches the Rfam family "Bacterial small subunit ribosomal RNA", at positions 524 to 776 of the family's 1533-position model. The record is from RNAcentral.
UACGUAGGGAGCAAGCGUUGUUCGGAAUUACUGGGCGUAAAGGGCUCGUAGGUGGCCAACUAAGUCAGACGUGAAAUCCCUCAGCUUAACUGGGGAACUGCGUCUGAUACUGGAUGGCUUGAGUUUGGGAGAGGGACGCGGAAUUCCAGGUGUAGUGGUGGAAUGCGUAGAUAUCGGGAGGAACACCAGUGGCGAAGGCGGCGUCCUGGACCGGUGCUGACGCUGAGGAGCGAAAGCGUGGGGAGCGAUCCGG